CUCUGCUCUCUCUUUACCCGGCUUUGUUUGGUGGCGUGCCAGACUAGCCGCUAGUCGUGCAUUUGGCUAUUCCGUGAUAACGCAAUUUCAUUAGCUUUAGGGUUUUUCUGCCGGGUAGAGGAGCUCCCUUUUCUGCUUUGAAACUUUACAGAACUUUUACAAACACAAAAAAACUAUACCACACUAGACUAGAGGAAAGGAAAGAGAUGAAAAACCAUGUCUCCUAGAAAUAUUUCCCUUUAAAAUGUGGAAGUGGUAAGAAGUAAAGCAAAAAAGCAAACAGUGGGAAUUCUAAAGUAGAGUCAAAAAGUCAUCCGAAAUAAAGUCCCAACGUUUCGUCGACCUAUGAGCUCUUUAAAGUGCAUUUUUACUCAAAGCGCUGUCAAUAAUUUGAUCAUUACAGUAAACGUACUCGUUGACCUUCCACCAGUGGCCGUUACCCAGCUCACCCGCUGUGUGACUUUUGAGCUGACAACUGUAAAGAUGCCUGCUGCAUCUGUGUUCACCCUGUGUGGACUCACCCCCUCCUGCUCCUGCUGCUGCUGCUGCUGCUGAUUAUGCAAAGAGUGAACCAGCAGCCUUGUGGUUAGCGCAUCUGUCUCCCGUACCGAGGCUGCGGGUUCGCGGCCCGUCAGAACACGGACAUUGAGGUUGGAAGCAUCGAUGUCAUCAUUGAGGCACGUGUCGGUUUGCUGUCGUGGGCGCCACUCACGUGACGUUCUGAAAAACAAAUCAAUUGAUCGACAAGCUGGACCGACGCCGAGCCUGAACGCCACAAAAACCCCCGGGGGACACACAACAUUCGACGAACAUGUACAGAAACAGUAACGCAGUUUGUUGUUUGGACUGCUGGUUAGAUGUCAUUGAUUAUUCAAAAAUGCGAAACUGUUUUGAGAUGCAUAAUGUAUGUAGUGUAAUUUGGAAAAACCUUAAACAAGCA
Long non-coding RNA from Scophthalmus maximus (turbot), 940 nucleotides. RefSeq lists it as uncharacterized. The transcript has 3 exons. The record is from RefSeq and is a predicted model, not a curated record. NCBI's taxonomy places the organism in Eukaryota, Metazoa, Chordata, Actinopteri, Pleuronectiformes, Scophthalmidae.